AGGCUCGUGUCUUCCCCUCCACCGCCACUUUUCACCCGCGUCCACACACACCCUGACAUAUCGAGAAAAAGGCUCCAGGAGCGCGGCGGCUCGGCCCGGGAGCUGAGGCGGGGACCGGCCGCCUCCUGGAGCUCUCAGCCGGGGACCUGCAGGGAGACACACCGGGGAUUUCUCUCCCUCUGUGGCCGCUGAGGAUUUACGGCCCGGGCCUCGGUUUGACGUGAGCUCGGCUUCCAACCGACAACCUCAGCUGUGAAACUACAUCUUCCGGCUGUGUCUAUAAAAGGAACCAGCCAACAGUCCGUCAUCGGGGGAUGAUUCACUCUGAGUGCAACAGGUUUAUUACGUUCGAUGGUUGGAUUGUAAACAGUAUUAUGCAAAAGCUACCGGACGGUUCACCAUGACUUCUGAUAGGGAUCUGGAUCAGAGACAGAUUCAGGACUGAUAUUUAUAUGUGUGUGAGAGCAAGGUGCUGCAGAUCCAGAUAUAAAUCCGGGUCCAGUGGCCUCGGUGAUGUUGCAGCAGAGAUGAGACACACGAUACAAACCAGUGAUGUCAUGCCACAGAUUUACAGUUUGAGAAGGAACAGUGUGACUGUUCACUGGAUCACACACGACUCAGCAGUUUCCAUGAUGCCUGAGCUUUAGUUUCUCUGACGCAGCUUCUUAUCUCACUGUGGAAUCUGGGAAAUCGACGAUUGUCUGUGUGCAAAGUUAGAACAGCUCUGGAGAGCGAAGAUGUAAAAAAAUCAACUUUAUUCAACAAAUAAAAAACUUGUUAUAAAUGAUA
This is a long non-coding RNA of Hippoglossus stenolepis (Pacific halibut), 789 nucleotides long. RefSeq lists it as uncharacterized. The record is from RefSeq and is a predicted model, not a curated record. NCBI's taxonomy places the organism in Eukaryota, Metazoa, Chordata, Actinopteri, Pleuronectiformes, Pleuronectidae. The transcript is spliced from 3 exons.